GAGAGAAUUGUGAAUGACUGUAGUGUUAGUCAACCUUGUGACUAAUAUGUCGUAUCUUUGUAUCUACUGUAAAUGUUGCCAUCUCAUUUUGAGAUUCGUUUGAGAUGGUGUAGACUAUUGUAGGUUUAUAGUUUCUGAUGUACCAGUUUUGAAAACGCACAGAAACCAGAAUGCAUGUUUAUUUUCAUUCACUAUAGUUGUGGCUGCCCAUAAGGUUAUGGAAUCACAUUGUGUUCAUAACACGUGGUUUAGGUAUUGUUGUAAUCAAUGACUGUAUAUUGUUGUAAUCCACUAUUAUUUUGGGCUGAGUCCUCCCAAGGAUUUCCAUUUGGAAUUGUUUUGCCUGUUGCCACCAGCAGGGGGUGAGGGAGCAUAGCGGUUUGUGUCUCUACUCCCCUCAACAACACUUGAAGAAGACGCCUGUGACAACUUUUACUGUUUCUCCUACUCUUUUAAAAAAUGUGUUCUCUUAAACAGAUUCAUGUUUUGGCUCAAACGUUACAGUCCUAAAAAACGUCUGGAGGGCAGCCAUGCAACCAGGCCAACAGUUCCACUACAAUGGCAAGAGCACUUUUGUGUGGUUUAGAUCAGGGUUUCCCCAAACUUUUUGCCAAAGCACUACACAGCUGAUUCAAAUAACUAACUCAUAAUCGAGCUUUGAUUAUUUGAAUCAGCUGUGUAGUGCUAGGGCAAAAAUCAAAAAGAAGUGGAAACAUCUAAGAGCAACAACUGCUCAGCUGCAAAGUAGUAGGCCACACAAGCUCACAGAACGGGAUCGCCGAGUGCUGAAGUGAGUAAAAAUGGUCUGACCUUGGAUGCACCACUCACUACUGAGUUCCUAACUGCCUCUGGAAGCAAUGUCAGCACAAGAACUGUUCGUCGGGAGCUUCAUGAAAUGGGUUUCCAUGGCCAAGCAAGUCUAAGAUCACAAUGCAAAGCUUCAGCUGGAGUGAUGUAAAGCUCGCUGCCAUUGGACUUUGUAGCAGCGGAAACGCAUUCUCUGGAGCGAUCAAUCACGCUUCACGAUGCGGCAGUCAAUUCUGGGUUUGACAGAUGCCAAGAGAACGCUACCUGCACGAAUGCAUAUUGCCAACUGUAAAGUUUGGUUGUUUUAAUUAUUGUCUGGGGUUGUUUUUCAUGGUUCGGGCUAGGCCCCUUAGUUCCAGUGUAGGGAAAUCUUAACGCUGCAGCAGCAUACAAUGACAUUCUAGAUUUGGGAAGGCCCUUUCAUGUUUCAGCAUAACAAUGGCCCUGUGCACAAAGCGAGGUCCAUACAACAUUUGUUGUCGAAAUCAGUGUGGAAGAACUUGACUGGCCUGCACAGAGCACUGACCUCAACCCCAUCAAACACCUUUGGGAUGAAUUGGAACGCUGACUGCGAGCCAGGCCUAAUCGUCCAACAUCAUUGCCUGACCUCUCUAAUACUCUUGUGGCUGAUUGGUAGCAAGUCCCCGCAGCAGUGUUCCAACAUUAGACCAGUGCAAAUCUGUAAUUUGGUCUGAUGACUCCAAAUUUGAGACUUUUGGUUCCAAAUGCAGUGUAUUUGUGAAACGCAGACGGAUCAUCUCUGCAUGUGUAGUUCCCACCGUGAAGCAGGGAGGGGGUGUGGGGGUGCUUUGCUGGUGAUACUGUCAGUAAUUUAUUUAGAAUUCAAGGCACUCUUAACCAGCAUGGCUACCACAGCAUUCUGCAGCGAUACGCCAUCCCAUCUGGUUUGCGCUCAGUGGGACUAUCAUUUAUUUUUCAACAGAACAAUGACCCAACACACCUCCAGGCUGUGUAAUGGCUAUUUGACCAGAAGAAGAGUGAUGGAGUGCUGCAUCAGAUUACCUAGCCUCCACAAUUACCUGAACUCAACCCAAUUGAGAUGGUUUGGGAUGAGUUGGACCGCAGAGUGAAGGAGAGGCAGCCAACAAGUGCUCAGCAUAUGUCGGAAUUCCUUCAAGACUGUUGGAAAAGCAUUCCAGGUGAAGCUGGUUGAGAGUGCAAAGUUGUCAUCAAGGCAAAGGGUGGCUUCUUUUGAAGAAUCUAAAAUAUUACAUGUUUUUUAUUUUAUUUGUCUAACACUUUUUUGUGUUACUACAUGAUUCCAUGUGUUAUUUCAUAGUUUUGAUGUCUUCACUAUUAUUCUACAAUGUAAAAAAUAAAUAAAGAGGACCUCUUGAAUGAG
Oncorhynchus nerka (sockeye salmon) is the source of this 2170-nucleotide long non-coding RNA. RefSeq lists it as uncharacterized. The record is from RefSeq and is a predicted model, not a curated record. NCBI's taxonomy places the organism in Eukaryota, Metazoa, Chordata, Actinopteri, Salmoniformes, Salmonidae. The transcript has 2 exons.